Molecule: non-coding RNA, 118 nt
Organism: Chelonoidis abingdonii (Abingdon island giant tortoise)
Lineage: Eukaryota; Metazoa; Chordata; Testudines; Testudinidae
Source: RefSeq, a predicted model, not a curated record
CAAACCAAAGGCAAUGCAAGUUACAGGACUGAGAUUACAUUUGCAAAGCUUAGCUGUCCAGUGAGCUCCAACAGUCUGCCUUUGCGACCCUGGAGCCGGUGCAGCUUGGGGACACUGA